GGUCCAAUACUGGUCAAAACUAGUGCACUACAUAGGGAUUAGGGUGCCAUACUGGUCAAAACUAGUGCACUACAUAGGGAUUAGGGGUCCAAUACUGGUCAAAACUAGUGCACUACAUAGGGAUUAGGGGUGCCGUACUGGUCAAAACUAGUGCACUACAUAGGGAUUAGGGUGCCAUUUUGAAUACAACCAAUGUAACAACACACCAUGUGUUUAUUAGUAGUCAUCGCUGUAGGAACCUCUGUUCUCGUUAUUCCUCCAAGAGGAACUGUUCGUUUAAGAUGACACGCUCUAGUCUGAUCCCAGGUCUGUUUCUGAUCUCUUGACAACUACAUUGGUGUCCUUGUUAUGACAAUUCCAUAGGCUGACUGGCACCCAGGCUGGCACCCAGGCUAAACUUACUGGCACCCAGGCUAAACUGACUGGCACCCAGGCUAAACAGACUGACACCCAGGCUAAACUGACUGGCACCCAGGCUAAACUGACUGGCACCCAGGCUAAACAGACUGGCACCCAGGCUAAACUGACUGGCACCCAGGCUAAACAGACUGGCACCCAGGCUAAACUGACUGGCACCCAGGCUAAACUGACUGGCACCCAGGCUAAACUGACUGGCACCCAGGCU
RNAcentral lists this long non-coding RNA (625 nucleotides) under Salmo salar (Atlantic salmon). RNAcentral describes it as "lncRNA (ENSSSAG00000081988.1, ENSSSAG00000119154.1)". Lineage: Eukaryota; Metazoa; Chordata; Actinopteri; Salmoniformes; Salmonidae. The record is from RNAcentral.